RNAcentral lists this ribosomal RNA (486 nucleotides) under uncultured bacterium. Its description in RNAcentral is "partial 16S ribosomal RNA". It matches the Rfam family "Bacterial small subunit ribosomal RNA", at positions 30 to 507 of the family's 1533-position model. The record is from RNAcentral.
AUUGAACGCUGGCGGCAUGCCUUACACAUGCAAGUCGAACGGCAGCACGGGUGCUUGCACCUGGUGGCGAGUGGCGAACGGGUGAGUAAUACAUCGGAACAUGUCCUGUAGUGGGGGAUAGCCCGGCGAAAGCCGGAUUAAUACCGCAUACGAUCUACGGAUGAAAGCGGGGGACCUUCGGGCCUCGCGCUGUAGGGUUGGCCGAUGGCUGAUUAGCUAGUUGGUGGGGUAAAGGCCUACCAAGGCGACGAUCAGUAGCUGGUCUGAGAGGACGACCAGCCACACUGGGACUGAGACACGGCCCAGACGCCUACGGGAGGCAGCAGUGGGGAAUUUUGGACAAUGGGCGAAAGCCUGAUACAGCAAUGCCGAGUGUGUGAAGAAAGCCUUCGGGUUGUAAAGCACUUUUGUCCGGAAAGAAAUCCUUGGCCCUAAUACGGUCGGGGGAUGACGGUACCGGAAGAAUAAGCACCGGCUAACUACGUG